This 557-nucleotide ribosomal RNA is filed under the name Ruegeria sp. I14B-01173. Its description in RNAcentral is "bacterial SSU rRNA". It matches the Rfam family "Bacterial small subunit ribosomal RNA", at positions 95 to 687 of the family's 1533-position model. The record is from RNAcentral. Lineage: Bacteria; Pseudomonadati; Pseudomonadota; Alphaproteobacteria; Rhodobacterales; Roseobacteraceae.
GCGGCGGACGGGUUAGUAACGCGUGGGAAUAUACCCAAUGGUACGGAAUAGCCUCUGGAAACGGAGAGUAAUACCGUAUGUGCCCUUCGGGGGAAAGAUUUAUCGCCAUUGGAUUAGCCCGCGUCUGAUUAGAUAGUUGGUGGGGUAACGGCCUACCAAGUCGACGAUCAGUAGCUGGUUUGAGAGGAUGAUCAGCAACACUGGGACUGAGACACGGCCCAGACUCCUACGGGAGGCAGCAGUGGGGAAUCUUAGACAAUGGGCGCAAGCCUGAUCUAGCCAUGCCGCGUGAGUGACGAAGGCCUUAGGGUCGUAAAGCUCUUUCGCCUGUGAAGAUAAUGACUGUAGCAGGUAAAGAAACCCCGGCUAACUCCGUGCCAGCAGCCGCGGUAAUACGGAGGGGGUUAGCGUUGUUCGGAAUUACUGGGCGUAAAGCGCACGUAGGCGGAUCGAAAAGUUGGGGGUGAAAUCCCAGGGCUCAACCCUGGAACUGCCUCCAAAACUCUCGAUCUGGAGUUCGAGAGAGGUAAGUGGAAUUCCGAGUGUAGAGGUGAAAU